GAGUUUGAUCCUGGCUCAGGAUGAACGCUGGCGGAGUGCUUUAUACAUGCAAGUCGAACGGACCUUCGGGUUAGUGGCAAACGGGUGAGUAAUGCAUAGGUAACAUGCCCUUAAGCCUGGGAUAACAUUCUGAAAAGGGUGCUAAUACCGGAUAAUCUUUUAAAAUCGCAUGAUUUUAUAAGCAAAGAUUUAUCGCUUAAGGAUUGGCCUAUGUCUGAUUAGUUUGUUGGUGGGGUAAUGGCCUACCAAGACUACGAUUAGUAGCCGGCCUGAGAGGGUGAACGGCCACACUGGGACUGAGACACGGCCCAGACUCCUACGGGAGGCAGCAGUAGGGAAUAUUGCGCAAUGGGGGAAACCCUGACGCAGCGACUCCGCGUGAGCGAUGAAGUCUUUAGGGAUGUAAAGCUCUGUCAAGAGGGACGAUAAUGACGGUACCUCUAGAGGAAGCCCCGGCUAACUACGUGCCAGCAGCCGCGGUAAUACGUAGGGGGCAAGCGUUAUCCGGAUUUAUUGGGUUUAAAGGGUCCGCAGGCGGACCAGUCAGUCAGUGGUGAAAUCCCAUCGCUCAACGAUGGAACUGCCAUUGAUACUGCUGGUCUUGAGUCUAGUCGACGUAGGCGGAAUAUGACAUGUAGCGGUGAAAUGCAUAGAUAUGUCAUAGAACACCAAUUGCGAAGGCAGCUUACGAAACUACGACUGACGCUCAUGGACGAAAGCGUGGGUAGCGAACAGGAUUAGAUACCCUGGUAGUCCACGCCGUAGACGAUGAUCACUCGAUGUCAGCGAUAUACAGCUGGUGUCUUAGCGAAAGUUUUAAGUGAUCCACCUGGGGAGUACGUUCGCAAGAAUGAAACUCAAAGGAAUUGACGGGGGCCCGCACAAGCGGCGGAGCAUGUGGUUUAAUUCGAUGAUACGCGAGGAACCUUACCUGGGCUUAAAUGUAGAGUGCUUUAGAUGGAAACAUCUUUUUCUUCGGACGCUCUACAAGGUGCUGCAUGGCUGUCGUCAGCUCGUGCUGUGAGGUGUCGGGUUAAGUCCCAUAACGAGCGCAACCUCUAUCUUUAGUUGCUAACAGGUUAAGCUGAGGACCCUAGAGAGACUGCCGGUGCAAACCGUGAGGAAGGUGGGGAUGACGUCAAGUCAGCACGGCCCUUACGUCCAGGGCUACACACGUGCUACAAUGGCCGGUACAGAGGGCAGCUACAUAGCGAUAUGAUGCAAAUCUCUAAAGCCGGUCUCAGUUCGGAUCGGAGUCUGAGACUCGACUCCGUGAAGCUGGAAUCGCUAGUAAUCGCGUAUCAGCAAUGACGCGGUGAAUACGUUCCCGGGCCUUGUACACACCGCCCGUCAAGCCAUGGAAUCUGGGAGUGCCUGAAGUCGGUAACCGUAAGGAGCCGCCUAGGGUAAAACUGGUAACUAGGGCUAAGUCGUAACAAGGUAACC
RNAcentral lists this ribosomal RNA (1446 nucleotides) under uncultured marine bacterium. RNAcentral's name for it is "bacterial SSU rRNA". It matches the Rfam family "Bacterial small subunit ribosomal RNA". The record is from RNAcentral.